This 515-nucleotide ribosomal RNA is filed under the name uncultured Thermococcus sp. Its description in RNAcentral is "bacterial SSU rRNA". It matches the Rfam family "Archaeal small subunit ribosomal RNA", at positions 339 to 856 of the family's 1478-position model. The record is from RNAcentral. Lineage: Archaea; Methanobacteriati; Methanobacteriota; Thermococci; Thermococcales; Thermococcaceae.
GCGCGAAACCUCCGCAAUGCGGGAAACCGCGACGGGGGGACCCCGAGUGCCGUGGCAACGCCACGGCUUUUCCGGAGUGUAAAAAGCUCCGGGAAUAAGGGCUGGGCAAGGCCGGUGGCAGCCGCCGCGGUAAUACCGGCGGCCCGAGUGGUGGCCGCUAUUAUUGGGCCUAAAGCGUCCGUAGCCGGGCCCGUAAGUCCCUGGCGAAAUCCCACGGCUCAACCGUGGGGCUUGCUGGGGAUACUGCGGGUCUUGGGACCGGGAGAGGCGGGGGGUACCCCUGGGGUAGGGGUGAAAUCCUAUAAUCCCAGGGGGACCGCCAGUGGCGAAGGCGCCCCGCUGGAACGGGUCCGACGGUGGGGGACGAAGGCCAGGGGAGCAAACCGGAUUAGAUGCCCGGGUAGUCCUGGCUGUAAAGGAUGCGGGCUAGGUGUCGGGUGAGCCUCGAGCUCGCCCGGUGCCGUAGGGAAGCCGUUAAGCCCGCCGCCUGGGGAGUACGGCCGAAGGCUGAAACU